RNAcentral lists this unclassified non-coding RNA (385 nucleotides) under soil metagenome. Its description in RNAcentral is "partial contains 5.8S ribosomal RNA, internal transcribed spacer 2, and large subunit ribosomal RNA". The stretch from base 1 to 120 matches the Rfam family "5.8S ribosomal RNA", at positions 35 to 154 of the family's 154-position model. The record is from RNAcentral.
GAUGAAAACGUAGCGAAAUGCGAUAAGUAAUGUGAAUUGCAGAUUUUCAGUGAAUCAUCGAAUCUUUGAACGCACCUUGCGCUCCCUGGUAUUCCGGGGAGCAUGCCUGUUUGAGUGUCAUUAAAUUCUCAACCCCGAUCGGAUUUGUUUUCGCAUUCGGAGGCUUGGAUAGUGGAGCGUGCUGGCCCCCUCUCAUGGGUCGGCUCCUCUCAAAUGCAUUCGCGGAAUCGACUUUGGUCCAUUUCGGUCAUCAGUGUGAUAAACGUUGCGCUGUUGGCUAGGAUCGAGGUGCCGCAUACAAUGGUCUUCGGACAAUUUUAUAAACCAUUUGACCUCAAAUCAGGUAGGACUACCCGCUGAACUUAAGCAUAUCAAUAGCGGAGGA